RNAcentral lists this ribosomal RNA (650 nucleotides) under uncultured bacterium. Its description in RNAcentral is "bacterial SSU rRNA". It matches the Rfam family "Bacterial small subunit ribosomal RNA", at positions 8 to 702 of the family's 1533-position model. The record is from RNAcentral.
AGAGUUUGAUCCUGGCUCAGAACGAACGCUGGCGGCAGGCCUAACACAUGCAAGUCGAGCGCUCACCUUCGGGUGGGAGCGGCGCACGGGUGAGUAACACGUGGGAACCUACCUUGAAGUACGGAAUAACUGAGGGAAACUUCAGCUAAUACCGUAUACGCCCUACGGGGGAAAGAUUUAUCGCUUCAAGACGGGCCCGCGUUGGAUUAGCUAGUUGGUGAGGUAAUGGCUCACCAAGGCAACGAUCCAUAGCUGAUUUGAGAGAAUGAUCAGCCACACUGGGACUGAGACACGGCCCAGACUCCUACGGGAGGCAGCAGUGGGGAAUAUUGGACAAUGGGCGCAAGCCUGAUCCAGCCAUGCCGCGUGAGUGAUGAAGGCCUUCGGGUUGUAAAGCUCUUUCAGAUGGGACGAUGAUGACGGUACCAUCAGAAGAAGCCCCGGCUAACUUCGUGCCAACAGCCGCGGUAAUACGAAGGGGGCUAGCGUUGUUCGGAAUUACUGGGCGUAAAGCGCGCGUAGGCGGCUUUGUCAGUCAGGGGUGAAAUCCCGGGGCUUAACCUCGGAACUGCCCUUGAUACUGCAAGGCUUGAGUCUGUGAGAGGAUGGUGGAAUACCCAGUGUAGAGGUGAAAUUCGUAGAUAUUGGGU